AGCGAACGCUGGCGGCAGGCCUAACACAUGCAAGUCGAACGAACCUUUCGGGGUUAGUGGCGGACGGGUGAGUAACACGUGGGAACGUGCCUUUAGGUUCGGAAUAACUCAGGGAAACUUGUGCUAAUACCGAAUGUGCCCUUCGGGGGAAAGAUUUAUCGCCUUUAGAGCGGCCCGCGUCUGAUUAGCUAGUUGGUUGAGGUAAUGGCUCACCAAGGCGACGAUCAGUAGCUGGUCUGAGAGGAUGAUCAGCCACAUUGGGUCUGAGACACGGCCCAAACUCCUACGGGAGGCAGCAGUGGGGAAUCUUGCGCAAUGGGCGAAAGCCUGACGCAGCCAUGCCGCGUGAAUGAUGAAGGUCUUAGGAUUGUAAAAUUCUUUCACCGGGGACGAUAAUGACGGUACCCGGAGAAGAAGCCCCGGCUAACUUCGUG
This 434-nucleotide ribosomal RNA is filed under the name uncultured bacterium. RNAcentral's name for it is "partial 16S ribosomal RNA". It matches the Rfam family "Bacterial small subunit ribosomal RNA", at positions 29 to 507 of the family's 1533-position model. The record is from RNAcentral.